This is an RNA transcript of Xenopus laevis (African clawed frog), 6591 nucleotides long. It is a transcript of the gene named TGF-beta activated kinase 1 (MAP3K7) binding protein 2 L homeolog, with no coding region annotated. The transcript is spliced from 12 exons. NCBI's taxonomy places the organism in Eukaryota, Metazoa, Chordata, Amphibia, Anura, Pipidae. The record is from RefSeq and is a predicted model, not a curated record.
UGCUUGCUUCUCGUCCGCCAUAUUUCGUCCUGCCAGUAUUUUGAGGGAGGAGAAGCAGUUUAUAUCCACAUACGUUGAAUUGAGUUUUUUAUAUUAGGCAAGUUGGGGAACCAACUAAGAGCUAUUCCGGUCCCCAGGUUAUUAUUCCUGGAAGAUAGUAGUCACAGUAUAACACUUCUUUGCACGCAGCCGUACCAACAAGCAGUCAGUCACAGGAAUCAGUGUGAUUGGUUACCGGGCCAGGGUACAGAAACGUCGCGGUUGGAACUUUCCUUCCCUUUGAGUCUGUACUCCAAGCGUCUAGGUUGGCAGGGAGUGUAGUUGUCCGAACAGAACCCUGGCGGAAGAGACGGAAAGGUUUGAAAAAGUUACAGUAUCUACAUCCUGAAAUACUGACCAGAAGCCAAAGAAAUGAAUAAAUCAUUACUUAACAACCUAGAAUUAAAUACACAGAAAGAAAAAAAGCUGUAAGGUCAAAGUUUUGACAAAAAUGUAAGGACGCUUAAGCGCCGCCCACGCUCUUCUUGCUGCGCAACAGCUCUGUUUCAAGGACCUCCAUGACCCCUCUAGUGGUGACAGUGUCCCUCCUGCUCCAAAAAAUGGGCCAAACGAUCGGAUUACAGCAAAGGAAAUGCACCAACGGUAUGAGGACCACAUCAACUCAGAAGAUGGUUGCUCAGAAUAAAAUGAAUUUGGCUUCCAGCAAGGCCUAGAACUGUCUAAGAACAGUUCUACAGAGCCAUUAGACGAAUGGCCCAAGGAAGCCCGCAGGUUGACUUUCAGGUUUUACAUAACCUGCGGCAAAAAUUCCCAGAGGUGCCUGAAGUUGUUGUUUCCCGAUGCAUGCAGCAGAAUAACAACAACUUGGAUGCUUGUUGUGCUGUACUGUCUCAAGAAAGUACAAAAUAUUUGUAUGGAGAAGGAGACUUAUCUCUUUCAGAUGAUCCUCGAAUUGCGAGCUUAAGAAAUCACAUGACUUCUCUGAAUUUGGAUUUGCAGUCACAAAACGUGUACCUUGAUGGAAGGGACGGCACUAGGAUGAAUGGAAACAGCAGGACUCUAACUCACAGUAUAAGUGAUGGGCAUCUUCAGGGAGUUCAGUCCAGCAAUGAACUGUAUGAACCCGAACCACAAACUGCACCUGCUCAUGUUCCUGCUAGCUUUAAUGUCUUUGGAAUGGCCAAUACCAUUAGUUCUUCAAAUCAUGGACAUCAGUUUGGGCUACAUUUAGGUAGCAAAUGGUCAUCUGCUUCACAGACACCACGGUUUAACCCUAUAAUGGUGACAUUGGCACCAAAUAUCCAGCCUAGUCGUAAUACUCCAACAUCAUUGCACAUUCAUGGUGUUCCUCCACCAGUUCUUAAUAGUCCACAUGGAAACUCUAUCUAUAUUAGGCCUUAUGUUACUUCUCAGAGUGGUACAUCUCGACAGGCACAACAGACACCAAGUUGGGUGUCUCAUAAUCCAACACAACCACAGCAGAUUUAUCAGCCACCGCAGCCAAACCCAUGGACAACUCUUCCUACUUAUUCUACACCACAUACCUCAUUGCAACAGCCAUCCCAGUCUAGUAUUCAAGGCCACCAAACCUCUCAUGUCUAUAUGCCCAUAAGUUCUCCAACAACUCCUCAAGCACCCAUGCUUCAUUCAUCUGGCAACAGUUCCCAACCAUCCACACAGUAUAAUAUUCAAAAUAUCUCAACAGGUCCCAGGAAAAACCAAAUUGAAAUAAAGCUUGAACCACCGCAGAGGAGUAAUUCAUCAAUGUUACGACCUGCGUGUUCACGCAGUUCAGCGAACCCUGCCUCUAUUAACAAUCACACCAGAAACCAACCCACUGUUUACAUAGCAAGCCCUCCAAGCACAGAUGAAAUGAUCUGUCGUAAUCAGCCUAAGGUCUACAUUUCUGCCAAUGCUCAAAGUGUUGAUGACCAGGUAAUCAGGAACUCGCCUACAGUUUUCAUAUCUGCAAACCCUGGGGCAACAACUACAUCCAGGAAUAUGUCUGGUCAAGUAAGCAUGGGUCCUGCUUUUAUCCACCACCACCCUCCCAAAAGCCGAGCACAUGGUAACAGCACAUCAGCCACAUCUCCACGUGUGGUGGUAACUCAACCCAACACAAAAUAUACUUUUAAAAUAACUGUAUCCCCUAAUAAACCUCCUGCAGUUUCUCCAGGGGUAGUCUCUCCAACUUUUGAGCCUACAAAUUUGCUUAACCUUACUGAUCCAUUUGCAGAAUCAGAAGGUAUGCAGCAUCUUACAGACCCUAUUUUAGCAUCUGAUAAAAUAAGUGAAGCACGAAAAUUAAGCGCGGGAUCGGAUGAUGCAGCAUAUACACAAGCUUUACUGGUACAUCAGAAGGCAAGAAUGGAACGACUACAUCGUGAACUUGAUGUGCAAAAGAAAAAACUUGACCUGCUGAAGACAGAGGUCAAUGAAAUGGAAAACAAUCUAACAAAAAGGCGCCUAAAUAGAUCAAAUUCUCUUUCACAAAUUCCUUCACUGGAAGAAAUGCAGCAGUUAAGGAGCUGCAAUCGUCAGCUGCAGAUUGAUAUUGACUGUCUAACCAAAGAAAUAGAUCUUUUUCAGGCAAGAGGACCACUCUUCAAUCCUAGUGCAAUUCAUAACUUUUAUGAUAAUAUUGGAUUUCUUGGUCCUGUGCCUCCAAAACCAAAAGAUCAGAGAUCUGCCAGCAAAACGCCAAAGAAUACUUCAGAUAUGGAGGAAGAUGAGGGAGCUCAUUGGAAUUGCACUGCAUGUACUUUUCUAAACCACCCUGCCUUAAACCGUUGUGAACAGUGCGACAUGCCUAGGCAUUUCUGAACCAGUUGGUCCUUAAAAUAUUUGCAUUGGAAUCUCCAAAGGAGAAAGCUAAAGAAAACUUCCCAGCUAAAGAAAACCUUUCAGCUGUAACUCUGUUGUGGAUAGUAGGAUUACAUAAAUCUGAAAGUGUGGCCUUUUGGUGUUUUGCUUCUGGUAAAAGUCAUCCCACAGUGAAAAUAAUACCUCAAUGUUGUGAUAUGCGCAGUUGACUUCCCCCUGCUUUUUUAGUUAUUAUUGUGUAACUUGUUCCCUUUUAAUCAUUUGGUCACUGAAAAGCUGAUAAACUUAUUUCUCAGAUUCCUGUACCAUGUACAGUAUUACGUUCAACUUGGUAAGAAUAAUUUUUACAGUUUAAAAUUUUGGGGGCUGUUGUCAACAUCAUUAUUAUAAUGUUUUGCAUGAUUGAAGCAAUAAAGUUGGCCAUAUGGAUCAAGAAAUGGGACCUAAAAAACAAGCCAGAAAACCCCAAGAAAUUGCAGUUUGCGGUCUUUUGGAUAAAGAACAGAUUUUACAGAUAAAGUGGUUCCUCGUGGGAACAUCUUUUGCCUUGUGAAGCAAGAAAGCAGUGCAAUCAAGUAGAAGAAGAAAAAAAAAAAGAACUGCAUGCAUUUAUAAUAAAGUGGAAUUACUCAGUGGCUUCUUCAUUUGUACAUAGCUCUAAAAACUUCUUUAAGUAAAUUGUUUUUGAUUGUUUCACUUUUAUUAAUUUCCUGUAAUUUGUAUGUAUAUUGUAAUAGGUUUUUUUUGUUAACCUUUCGUUUAAAUUUAAUUUUAGCUCAGUCAGUUUUAUGUUCUUGUUUUGUUUUUUCCUUUCUUUGAAGAGUCGGUGCCUUAAGAUACAAGCUUUCUCCAUCAGCAGAGUUGCAGCCUUCCAUUCACUUUAUUCGGAAACCAAUGCCCUGAGCUGGACACUUUUCAUCCCGAAUAUAGAUUGAGUGCUCCCAGGAAAUGGAGCAAUUACUGGCAGAAGUAAAGACAGCAGCAGAAAGGAAUGGAGGAGAUUGGUUGCGAAAAAUAUUGCAAAUGCAACCGACCGCAGAACAAGGAACAGCCGGCGAAUCCAUUAGGGGCAGGAGAAACAGGAGAACACGGCCUCCGGAACGCCAUAGCGUUAGUCCUGCGAGAACUGCCAAGUGCACGAAAAGAUCGCAGGGAGAUCAUAGACGUUCCCCUUCACCUAACAGGCCGCAGACACGCUCCAGGGGCAGACACCGGCAGGAGCACCAUGCAGGGAAUGGAGCACAGGAUCUGAGGCAGGCACAACCCCCAUCCAGAAGGAGCAGCAUCAGCCUUAUCCCUGAAUUCAGUGUCAGGAGUGUUGCGUCCACUUCUAGAACCAGGAGACGAGCAGCCAUGGUGCAAAUCGCAUCAAUAUGGGUGCAUUCCAGCAAGAAGGGAAUCAGGAUUUGCAGGCAAAUAACCUUUUACAGCAACAACAGCGAAGCCCAUUAAGGUGCUCUCCAGGCAUGGGUGAGUAUCAGCCUGAAAGGGCAUGGCAGUCAGAACAAUUAUCGGGUGAAAAUUAUAAUGUUAUGAAUAUGCUACAUUCGAUUAUGGAGAGACUACAACAUCAGUCAAUUGUGCCUUCACAACAUAAUAGGUCAGAAGAUCAUAUGUCCACAGUUGGCAGUAGCUGGUCACCCCAUAAGGAAAGGUCAAAGCAUAUAUCACCUAGUGUUGGCUGCUAUGGCGCCUUUCCUAAUUUACAUCAGUUAUGUGAAUCUGCGCCAUUAGGAUUACACUUGGAUGAGGCAACAAAGUCUAAGAUUUGGGAAGGUCGGUUUGUUGAUGUAUUUAACCUUGUACAGCCUGAAAAGGAAUCUAUUGAUAAAUCAUAUAGAAGGGUUGGUGAUAGCAAUGAGAAGUUAAAAAUCAUUCCUCGUACGAUAAAUAACUGGUUACAUGGUUUUUCAGUUUAUGCUAGUGUAUUAUGUGAAAAAAUUCCUGAAAAAGGUUCAUCUUUGUUCUGUUAUCUUGAACUCAUUUGGGGAGCUUAUAGAACAUAUGGGGGAGUUUGUUGGCUUAAAUAUGAUGAGCAAUUUCGUCAAAGAAUGGCGGCUAGAGCUUGUAUGCGCUGGGACUGUCAGGAUAUGAAUUUGUGGCUCUUAAUUAUGACACCUAACAGACCAGUUACUAGUUUGCAACCUGGAGCUGGGACAUCUGCAGGUACUUCAGUGACAGGAAAUAGGAGAGGCCAAUGUUGGUUAUACAAUGAAAGCCAUUGCAGAUGGUACUCGUCUUGUCGUUUUAGACAUGAAUGUUCUUUCUGUGGAGGGGCUCAUCCAGCCAUUAGAUGCUUUAAGAAGGCUAGACAAGCAGCUGCCAAGGUGCCCUCUGCUUACAAGGGCGAAGACGCCAGUGAGUGUGGAAAGGAUGUUGCCUUGGCUAAGCAGCUACCCCAAUGAACGUGAGGCCCUGAUAUUACAGUGUGGAUUUUCAGUAGGGUUCUGGAUACCGUUCCAGGAUAAUAACUUUUAUACAGAAUCUGUGAAUUUGAAAUCUGCAAGAGAACAUGAGGAGUUAGUUUGGCAAAAACUCUUAAAAGAGGUUGAAUUAGGUAGAAUGGCGGGGCCUUUUUUGCAAUCUCCAUUUUUGAAUUUAAAAGUGUCCCCUUUGGGUAUUGUUCCUAAAAAAGAACUGGGAAAAUUUCAUCUUAUUCACCAUCUUUCAUACCCUAAGGGUUCGUCUGUUAAUGAUGGGAUAGAUAAGGAAGAAUCUAAAGUCAUAUAUAAGUCAUUCGAUAUGGCUUUGGAAUUAGUUAAAAAUGCAGACGAGGGUGCCCUAAUGGCAAAAUCUGACAUACAAAUUCAGGGAUAGGUAUUUUGUGGAUAUGGCACUCCCCAUGGGGUGCUCAAUAUCAUGUUACUAUUUUGAGAUAUUUAGCUCAUUCUUGGAAUAGGUAAUAAAAGGUCAAUCAGGUCAUCAAUCAAUAUUACACUACCUUUACGAUUUCUUGUUUGUAGGCCCAAAGGAUACAGAUGUUUGUUUUACUCUUCUAAAGGAUUUUAGAAAUACAUUAUCAUUUUUUGGUGUUCCAAUAGCAGAGGAAAAAACAGAAGGGCCUAGUAAUAAGAUAAUGUUUCUAGGCAUUGAAAUUGAUUCUUGUGAAAGGAUAUUCUAUCUUCCUCAAGAGAAGUUACAGGCGGUUGGUAUUUUAGUGGACAGAACUAUAUCUGCUAAGAAGGUUACACUUAAACAUAUGCAGUCGCUACUUGGUCAUUUGGUUUUUGCAUGUAAGAUAAUGCCAAUGGGCAGGGUUUUUUGUCGCAGGCUUUCUUUAAAAACAAAAGGGAUAAAGGCAGCACAUCACUAUAUUAGAAUAACAAACGAAUUGAGGGAAGACCUUAAAACAUUUUUGGCCUAUUAUAAUGGCAAAACAUAUUGGCAGAACACGGAGAUGAGUAAUGGUGAUUUACAACUUUAUACAGAUGCAUCAGGAAGCAUAGGCAUGGGAGCAUUUUUUAAGGGGCUAUGGUGUGCGGAAAGAUGGCCGAGUUCAUGGUUGAAAUCGGAUUUGAUACGUAACCUUACAUUUUUGGAGUUAUUUCCAAUACUUGUUUCAAUUGUAUUGUGGGGUAAUGAAUUGAGGAACAGCAGGGUUAUUUUCUAUUGUGACAAUUUAAGCGUGGUUAAUGUGGUUAAUCGACAAACAGCUACUUCGUUGCCAGUUUUAACCAUAUUGAGACAGUUAGUUUUGCAAUGCCUCAAGUUUAAAGGGAUACUGUCAUGGGAAAAAAAAAAAUUUCAAAACGGUUAGUUAAUAGUGCU